GACAGUGUCAGGUGUUGGGGACGGUGACAGUGCCAGGUGUUGUUGGGGACAAUCACAGCUCCAGGUGUUGGUGGGGACAGUGACGGUGACAGUGACAACACUGGGGAUGGCUCUGGGUGUUGGGGGACAGCUCCGGGUGACAGUGGCGGCGACAACAGUGGGGACGGCUCCGGGUGUUGGGGACAAGUCCAGGUGUUGGUGACAACACUGGGGAUGGCUCCGGGUGUUGGUGACGGUGACAACACUGGGGACGGCUUCGGGUGUUGGCAAGAGCUCUGGGUGUUGGCGAUAGCUCUGGGUGUUGGGGACGGCUCCGAGUGUUGGUGACGGUGACAACACUGGGGAUGGCUCCGGGUGUUGGGGGACGGCUCCGGGUGACGGUGGUGAUGACAACACUGGGGACAACACCAGGUGUUGGG
Molecule: long non-coding RNA, 419 nt
Filed under: Numida meleagris (helmeted guineafowl)
Lineage: Eukaryota; Metazoa; Chordata; Aves; Galliformes; Numididae
Description: lncRNA (ENSNMEG00000002648.1)
Source: RNAcentral